UAACUGCGUGCAGACGUGUGAACUGCAGGACACAUGAACACCGACAUUUCGAACGCAUAUGGCGGCUUGAAAUAAAUUUCAAGCCACGUCUGGCUGAGGGUCGGAUAUAAAAUAAAAACAAAAGAUGCUCAAAGGAUCAUUUGAAAUGAAUUGCAAAUACCUUUGUAUUUUCCAGCUACAUCGCCGAGUUUUUAAGUUUGUAAAAAUUUUAAAGCUUGGUUAGAGUAAUGGUGUAUGUUUGUUGAAGCUUGUAUACAAUGUCAAGUCUCAAGCAGCAGACAGAAUUUUCUAGUCCUGUGGAAAGACAAUGUACACUAAGAAACAAAAUAAAAAUUGUAUCAUACUUGCGACCUCAGAGCAGACGAGAUUACCCGCUGAAUUUAA
This 384-nucleotide unclassified non-coding RNA is filed under the name uncultured fungus. Its description in RNAcentral is "sequence contains ITS1". The stretch from base 1 to 103 matches the Rfam family "5.8S ribosomal RNA", at positions 50 to 154 of the family's 154-position model. Lineage: Eukaryota; Fungi. The record is from RNAcentral.